AAAGCAGGUCAGGCAACCGCUGUCCUCACGUCCGUUGGACGUGGGGGGAGAGGAAAGUCCGGGCUCCACAGAGCAGGAUGCCGGCUAACGGCCGGACGCCGCGAGGCGAGGAAUAGGGCCACAGAGACGAGCGUAUUCAGUUACGGUGAAACGCGGUAACCUCCAUCCGGAGCAACACCAAAUAGGCAGGCGAUGAAGCGGCUCGCUGAGUCU
This 213-nucleotide non-coding RNA is filed under the name Thiobacillus sp. SCN 63-57. RNAcentral's name for it is "partial RNase P RNA component class A". It matches the Rfam family "Bacterial RNase P class A", at positions 1 to 266 of the family's 367-position model. Rfam says of the family: Ribonuclease P (RNase P) is a ubiquitous endoribonuclease, found in archaea, bacteria and eukarya as well as chloroplasts and mitochondria. Its best characterised activity is the generation of mature 5'-ends of tRNAs by cleaving the 5'-leader elements of precursor-tRNAs. The record is from RNAcentral. Lineage: Bacteria; Pseudomonadati; Pseudomonadota; Betaproteobacteria; Nitrosomonadales; Thiobacillaceae.